Long non-coding RNA from Scaptodrosophila lebanonensis, 421 nucleotides. RefSeq lists it as uncharacterized. The record is from RefSeq and is a predicted model, not a curated record. The transcript is spliced from 2 exons. Lineage: Eukaryota; Metazoa; Arthropoda; Insecta; Diptera; Drosophilidae.
ACACAAUGAGGGAGCACGAUACUGUAAAACUUUUUAUUCUGGCAUUUUGCCUUCAGCUGUUGGUCAUAGCCACGAGUCAAAAACCACCAUAUAAUGUGAACUUAUGCACUAUUCCGGUAGUUCUCGUCCCAAGGCGCACCAUAUGCCAACCGUUAAGGAAAGUUUGGGUAUUGCGAAAAAAUAAAUGUAUAAUGGCUUUCCAAUGCAUUACGGGCCUUACGGAAGCCGAAUGUAAGAAACAGUGCUUGGAGAAAUCAAACACAUAAAAGCAUAAUCAGACAUAUACUUGUAUAAAAAUAUAAAAAUAAGGUUUCUUAAUACUUAUAUUUAUAUUUAUUAAAGAAAUGUAUGUCAUUAUUUGCCUGUAGGUUUCCGUAUCUAACUCUUAAAAAUAUGCAUUAAAAUAGCGAAUCAAACACAA